UGCAGACUUUCACCCUGGGAAGCCAACAAUCUAAACACCCCAGACUGGAGUAGCCAGUUUUGAACAAGUGACUUCAGCUUCCCAAGUGUCAGACGCAUUUACGACCUCCAAGUCUUUCUGCCAAAGAGGUAUGCCGUCAGAGUACCUGCUAUCCUGCCCUAUCACAACACAUCAUCAUAAUUUGAUUUACGAAUGAAGAUGUCAUGUCUAAGUGUAUGGAAACACUCUAAACCAUUUUUGUGAUGGAGUCCUUGAUAUCUGAAAAUACCUACUUCUGAAAAGAACCCCAAACUUGCCACCUAUGGUAUGUUUCUUCUCUGCCUUUCCAUCCCCUGCAUUUUGCUGCAUUGAGACAAGUGGUUCCACCUUCCUACCAGGCUUUCAAGAUCAACUGCAUGGGAAUAGAUUGCAUUAUUUGUAGAUGCACUCCAGUUUCCAAGACACAUCAAUUUCCAAACAAUUUUUGCCAAGGCCAAGUGGAGUCAAAAAGCAACAUCCUGAAAGGGAGCAGUUGUUCCAACCAGUUGGAGGUGACGAUUUAUCAAGAGCCGUUAAUCCGUUGCCAUGUAAAGAGCCUCCAGCACAUUUACUUUUCAUCUUGGUGAGAG
Mustela lutreola (European mink) is the source of this 608-nucleotide long non-coding RNA. RefSeq lists it as uncharacterized. Lineage: Eukaryota; Metazoa; Chordata; Mammalia; Carnivora; Mustelidae. The record is from RefSeq and is a predicted model, not a curated record. The transcript has 3 exons.